UACAGAGGUCUCAAGCGUUGUUCGGAUUCAUUGGGCGUAAAGGGUCCGUAGGCGGCGCGGUAAGUCGGGUGUGAAAUCUCGGAGCUCAACUCCGAAACUGCCUUCGAUACUGCUGUGCUUGAGGACUGUAGAGGAGAAUGGAAUUCACGGUGUAGCAGUGAAAUGCGUAGAUAUCGUGAGGAAGACCAGUGGCGAAGGCGAUUCUCUGGGCAGUUCCUGACACUGAGGCACGAAGGCUAGGGGAGCAAACGGG
This 253-nucleotide ribosomal RNA is filed under the name uncultured bacterium. RNAcentral's name for it is "partial 16S ribosomal RNA". It matches the Rfam family "Bacterial small subunit ribosomal RNA", at positions 524 to 776 of the family's 1533-position model. The record is from RNAcentral.